CCUACGGGAGGCAGCAGUGAGGAAUAUUGGUCAAUGGACGAGAGUCUGAACCAGCCAAGUAGCGUGAAGGAUGACUGCCCUAUGGGUUGUAAACUUCUUUUAUAUGGGAAUAAAAUGUUCCACGUGUGUGAUUUUGUAUGUACCAUAUGAAUAAGGAUCGGCUAACUCCGUGCCAGCAGCCGCGGUAAUACAGAGGAUCCGAGCGUUAUCCGGAUUUAUUGGGUUUAAAGGGAGCGUAGGUGGAUUGAUAAGUCAGUUGUGAAAGUUUGCGGCUCAACCGUAAAAUUGCAGUUGAAACGGGCAGUCUUGAGUACAGUAGAGGUGGGCGGAAUUCGUGGUGUAGCGGUGAAAUGCUUAGAUAUCACGAAGAACUCCGAUUGCGAAGGCAGUUCACUGGACUGCAACUGACACUGAGGCUCGAAAGUGUGGGUAUCAAACAGGAUUAGAUACCCUUGUAGUC
RNAcentral lists this ribosomal RNA (460 nucleotides) under uncultured bacterium. RNAcentral's name for it is "partial 16S ribosomal RNA". It matches the Rfam family "Bacterial small subunit ribosomal RNA", at positions 338 to 795 of the family's 1533-position model. The record is from RNAcentral.